This 480-nucleotide ribosomal RNA is filed under the name uncultured bacterium. Its description in RNAcentral is "partial 16S ribosomal RNA". It matches the Rfam family "Bacterial small subunit ribosomal RNA", at positions 28 to 507 of the family's 1533-position model. The record is from RNAcentral.
GACGAACGCUGGCGGCGCGCUUAACACAUGCAAGUCGAACGGGGAAACCGUAACUGUGCGCUGCGGGGCGAGGAACAAGUGGUAAAGCACCCGUCGGUUCAGUAACCUGUAAGUAACCUUCCUUUGACAUUGGUAUAGCCCCUGGGGGCCAGGAUUAAUUGCUGCUAGAUUGGUAUUGGCACGUUUCAUUAGUUGCAAAGGUACUGGCGGCUAAGCUGGACGCUCGUCCGAUUGUCUAGUAGGUAGAGUAAUAGCAUACCAAGGCGAGGAUGGGUGGCCGGGCUGGGAGGGUGAACGGCCACAUUGGAACUGAGGCACGGUCCAAACUCCUACGGGAGGCAGCGGUGGGGAAUAUUGCAGAAUGGAGGCAACUCUGAUGCCGCCACGCCGCGGGAGCGAAGAAGGCGUUAGAGUCGUAAAGUUCUUUUAUACGGGAAGAUAAUGACGGUACCGGAAGAAAAAGCCCCGGCUAACUACGUG